Molecule: ribosomal RNA, 431 nt
Filed under: uncultured bacterium
Lineage: Bacteria
Description: bacterial SSU rRNA
Rfam family: Bacterial small subunit ribosomal RNA
Source: RNAcentral
AACGAACGCUGGCGGCAGGCCUAAAACAUGCAAGUCGAACGAACCUUCGGGUUAGUGGCGCACGGGUGAGUAACGCGUGGGAAUGUGCCUCUGGGUGCGGAACAACGUCGGGAAACUGACGCUAAUACCGGCAUAAUGUCUACGGACCAAAGAUUUAUCGCCCAGAGAUCAGCCCGCGUCUGAUUAGCUAGUUGGUGAGGUAACGGCUCACCAAGGCUACGAUCAGUAGCUGGUCUGAGAGGAUGAUCAGCCACACUGGAACUGAGACACGGUCCAGACUCCUACGGGAGGCAGCAGUUAGGAAUAUUGGACAAUGGGCGCAAGCCUGAUCCAGCCAUGCCGCGUGAGUGAUGAAGGCCUUAGGGUUGUAAAGCUCUUUUGGCGGGGAUGAUAAUGACCGUACCGCAGAAUAAGCCACGGCUAAAUUCGUG